RNAcentral lists this ribosomal RNA (506 nucleotides) under uncultured Acidobacteriota bacterium. RNAcentral's name for it is "bacterial SSU rRNA". It matches the Rfam family "Bacterial small subunit ribosomal RNA", at positions 355 to 851 of the family's 1533-position model. Lineage: Bacteria; Pseudomonadati; Acidobacteriota. The record is from RNAcentral.
UGGGGAAUUGUUCACAAUGGGCGCAAGCCUGAUGACGCAACGCCGCGUGGGGGAUGAAGGUCUUCGGAUUGUAAACCCCUGUCGAAUGGGACGAAAGACUCGCGAGUUAAUACUGCGCGAGAGUGACGGUACCGUUAAAGGAAGCCACGGCUAACUCUGUGCCAGCAGCCGCGGUAAUACAGAGGUGGCAAGCGUUGUUCGGAAUUACUGGGCGUAAAGGGCGCGUAGGCGGCCCACUAAGUCAGACGUGAAAUCCCCCGGCUUAACCUGGGAACUGCGUCUGAUACUGGAGGGCUUGAGUAUGGGAGAGGGAUGUAGAAUUCCAGGUGUAGCGGUGAAAUGCGUAGAUAUCUGGAGGAAUACCGGUGGCGAAGGCGGCAUCCUGGACCAUUACUGACGCUGAGGCGCGAAAGCUAGGGGGAGCAAACGGGAUUAGAUACCCCGGUAGUCCUAGCCCUAAACGAUGAAUACUUGGUGUGGCGGUAUCGAUCCCUGCCGUGCCGAAG